This 401-nucleotide ribosomal RNA is filed under the name uncultured bacterium. Its description in RNAcentral is "bacterial SSU rRNA". It matches the Rfam family "Bacterial small subunit ribosomal RNA", at positions 359 to 776 of the family's 1533-position model. The record is from RNAcentral.
GAAUCUUGCGCAAUGGGCGAAAGCCUGACGCAGCAACGCCGCGUGGGGGAUGAAGGCCUUCGGGUUGUAAACCCCUUUCAGGAGGGAAGAAAUUGACGGUACCUCCAAAAGAAGCCCCGGCCAACUACGUGCCAGCAGCCGCGGUAAUACGUAGGGGGCGAGCGUUGUCCGGAAUCAUUGGGCGUAAAGAGCUCGUAGGCGGUUCAGUAAGUCGGCUGUGAAAUUCCGAGGCUCAUCCUCGGAACUGCAGUCGAAACUAUUGUGACUCGAGUCCGGUAGAGGAGAAUGGAAUUCCCGGUGUAGCGGUGAAAUGCGCAGAUAUCGGGAGGAACACCAGUAGCGAAGGCGGUUCUCUGGGCCGGUACUGACGCUGAGGAGCGAAAGCGUGGGGAGCAAACAGG